This is an RNA transcript of Microplitis mediator, 1748 nucleotides long. RefSeq lists it as uncharacterized. The transcript is spliced from 6 exons. The record is from RefSeq and is a predicted model, not a curated record. Lineage: Eukaryota; Metazoa; Arthropoda; Insecta; Hymenoptera; Braconidae.
CUCGUACACUGUAUUAUUUUUCACCCCCUUUGCACUAACUUAGUGAUGAAAAUAAACUUCACCACAAUUUGCUGCUAACUAAAAUGGAAAAUAUAUCUACUGAUACUUAUCGCAGACUAUUAGAUAUAUAUAUUACAACAUUGAGACUUACUGGUAUUUGGCCACUAUUACCCUCAGCUAAAAUCGGCUGGAAAAUAUUCAAUUUAACUUACAGAUUUUUCAAUUCAAUACUAGUUAUUUUUUUCCUCAUAACUUUAAGCGCUGAUGCGUUAGAUAACGUAACAGAUUUAACUAUUUUUGGCUGCGAUGGAUGUUAUUUUUUUGGUUUAACAAUGAUUAUUUUCAAAGCAUACAGAUUUAAUCUUUCUUAUGAAAAAAUACUAAGGUUAAUUGACUAUGUUUACGAUCCAAUACAUAUACUUUCAAAAACAUCUGAUUCUGGAAUAAUAAUGAGUAUUAAAAAUUGUAUAUUUCAAGAAAAAUUGGAAAUAUCAUUUUUCUGUGUGUCGUGUAGUUUGUUUGCAAUAACGGUUCUAUUUUUGGUUCCACAAGAAAAAGGCGCAAUACCAAUACGAUGUAUUUAUCCAUUCGACAGUAUCAAAUCUCCUAAUCAUGAAAUAGUUGUGUUGCACCAGUCUUAUGUUAUGGUAUACUCACUUGUUAUUUUGAUCGCAAUGGACGCGAUGACUGUAGGAUUUAUUAGAUGGUCAACGAUACAAAUUCAAGUAUUGACAUCGAAUUACAAAAAUUGUAAUGUUUAUUCAAUAAGACGUGCAACGCUAGUUUCUCCAUUACUAACUGACAAGUCAGUAAAGAUAGAAAAUAAAUUAAAUAAUAUUGAAAUAUUUGAUGAAGACACAGAAAUAUGUGAAUUUUUGCCAUUUUAUUAUAACGAAAUGAAGAAUAUUGUUGAAGAUUCAUUUUUCUUGCGAUUCAAAACGUGCAUAAAAAAUCAUCAGAGAAUUAUUGAAAUGAUUAAUGAACUUAAUGAAAUAUUUAGCUCAUCAUUGUUGGUUCAAUUUGCAACAAGUACUGCUAUUAUUUGCCUUAAUGGAUUCCAAAUGAUUGUAAAUUCAAAUGACACAUCGAUGUUUAUCAAAUUUUUGUCAUAUUGGAUAUCAUGUUUCGCCCAAUUACUUUUCUGGUGUUGGUACGGCAAUCAAUUUACUAACUUGUAUUGUAACAUUUUGUUUCAAGGCAAACACUUUGACGUACAACCAGUGGAUGUCCGGAUGGGAAUAUGUAUACGAAAAAAACAAAAAUACUGAGUUAAGAAAUCUUGUUACUAUUUCAAUGAUACCUACACUACGACCAUUAGAAUUUAAAGCUGUUGGUCUUUUUGUUUUAUCAAUGCCGACGUUUCUUAUAAUCGUUAAGAGCUCAUAUUCAAUUUUAGUACUUUUAACAUCAGUUACUACAGACUGAACAAUUGAUUAAUCAUAAAUCUGUACACCUCAAUUGAAAUCGAUGAUGACUUCAAAAAAAAAAUAUCCUAUUAUAAUCUUCUGAUAAUAGAUACAUCAGAGGUGUAUGAAGUCACAAUAACUCGACAUCUCAUUGGUUGAAUAUAGCAUAAAUAUAUACAAAUUUACACAUUAAUACACAUUGACAUAAAUGUAUAAGAAUAAAUAUAAAAGUUCAUUCUAGUAAUGAAGAAUAAUUUGACUAAAUUUUGAGUAUAAAAUUAGUCAUGUUAUUUAGGUAAACUAAAAACCUUAAUAUACGUAUAAUGAUUGUAUAUUUAUUAG